This 468-nucleotide ribosomal RNA is filed under the name uncultured bacterium. RNAcentral's name for it is "partial 16S ribosomal RNA". It matches the Rfam family "Bacterial small subunit ribosomal RNA", at positions 28 to 507 of the family's 1533-position model. The record is from RNAcentral.
GACGAACGCUGGCGGCGUGCUUAACACAUGCAAGUCGAACGGAAAGGCCCUGCUUUUGUGGGGUGCUCGAGUGGCGAACGGGUGAGUAACACGUGAGUAACCUGCCCUUGACUUUGGGAUAACUUCAGGAAACUGGGGCUAAUACCGGAUAGGAUCUCCUGCUGCAUGGUGGGGGUUGGAAAGUUUCGGCGGUUGGGGAUGGACUCGCGGCUUAUCAGCUUGUUGGUGGGGUAGUGGUUUACCAAGGCUUUGACGGGUAGCCGGCCUGAGAGGGUGACCGGCCACCUUGGGCCUGCGAUACGGCCCAGACUCCUACGGGAGGCAGCAGUGGGGAAUAUUGCACAAUGGGCGGAAGCCUGAUGCAGCAACGCCGGGUGCGGGAUGACGGCCUUCGGGUUGUAAACCGCUUUCGCCUGUGACGAAGCGUGAGUGACGGUAAUGGGUAAAGAAGCACCGGCUAACUACGUG